AGAGAGAAGGAGCUUGCUUCUUCGAUCGAGUGGCGAACGGGUGAGUAACGCGUGAGGAACCUGCCUCAAAGAGGGGGACAACAGUUGGAAACGACUGCUAAUACCGCAUAAGCGCACAGUACCGCAUGGUACAGUGUGAAAAACUCCGGUGGUAUGAGAUGGACCCGCGUCUGAUUAGCUAGUUGGUGAGGUAACGGCCCACCAAGGCGACGAUCAGUAGCCGGACUGAGAGGUUGAACGGCCACACUGGAACUGAGACACGGUCCAGACUCC
RNAcentral lists this ribosomal RNA (273 nucleotides) under uncultured Eubacteriales bacterium. Its description in RNAcentral is "uncultured Clostridiales bacterium partial 16S ribosomal RNA". It matches the Rfam family "Bacterial small subunit ribosomal RNA", at positions 68 to 339 of the family's 1533-position model. Lineage: Bacteria; Bacillati; Bacillota; Clostridia; Eubacteriales. The record is from RNAcentral.